GCGGGUAUAACUCAGUGGUAGAGUGCCACCUUGCCAAGGUGGAAGUCGAGAGUUCGAAUCUCUUUGCCCGCUCCA
RNAcentral lists this transfer RNA (75 nucleotides) under Bacillota bacterium. RNAcentral's name for it is "tRNA-Gly". It matches the Rfam family "tRNA". Rfam says of the family: Transfer RNA (tRNA) molecules are approximately 80 nucleotides in length. Their secondary structure includes four short double-helical elements and three loops (D, anti-codon, and T loops). Further hydrogen bonds mediate the characteristic L-shaped molecular structure. tRNAs have two regions of fundamental functional importance: the anti-codon, which is responsible for specific mRNA codon recognition, and the 3' end, to which the tRNAs corresponding amino acid is attached (by aminoacyl-tRNA synthetases). tRNAs cope with the degeneracy of the genetic code in two manners: having more than one tRNA (with a specific anti-codon) for a particular amino acid; and 'wobble' base-pairing, i.e. permitting non-standard base-pairing at the 3rd anti-codon position. Lineage: Bacteria; Bacillati; Bacillota. RNAcentral also lists the same sequence under 2 other names. The record is from RNAcentral.